UACGUAGGGUGCGAGCGUUGUCCGGAAUUAUUGGGCGUAAAGAGCUCGUAGGCGGUUUGUCGCGUCGACUGUGAAAACUGGGGGCUUAACUCUCAGCUUGCAGUUGAUACGGGCAGACUUGAGUUCGGUAGGGGAGACUGGAAUUCCUGGUGUAGCGGUGAAAUGCGCAGAUAUCAGGAGGAACACCGGUGGCGAAGGCGGUUCUCUGGGACGGUACUGACGCUGAGACGCGAAAGCGUGGGGAGCGAACAGG
RNAcentral lists this ribosomal RNA (253 nucleotides) under uncultured bacterium. RNAcentral's name for it is "partial 16S ribosomal RNA". It matches the Rfam family "Bacterial small subunit ribosomal RNA", at positions 524 to 776 of the family's 1533-position model. The record is from RNAcentral.